Molecule: ribosomal RNA, 406 nt
Filed under: uncultured bacterium
Lineage: Bacteria
Description: partial 16S ribosomal RNA
Rfam family: Bacterial small subunit ribosomal RNA
Source: RNAcentral
AUUGAACGCUGGCGGCAGGCUUAACACAUGCAAGUCGAGCGUGCGGCGGACGGGUGAGUAAUGUCUGGGAAACUGCCUGAUGGAGGGGGAUAACUACUGGAAACGUUAGUUAAUACCGCAAACCAUCAGAUGUGCCCAGAUGGGCUUGGCUGGUAGGUGGGGUAAUGGCUCACCUAGGCGACGAUCCCUAGCUGGUCUGAGAGGAUGACGAGCCAAACUGGAACUGAGACACGGUCCAGACUCCGACGGUAGGCGGAGGUGGGGAAUAUUGGAAAAUGGGCGCAGGCCGGAUGCAGCCAGGCGGCGUGUGUGAAGAGGGCCUUCGGGUUGUAAGGCACUUUCAUCGAGGAGGCGUUAAUCGAAGAAGAAGCACCGGCUAACUCCGUGCCAGCCGCCGCGGUAAUAC